Molecule: long non-coding RNA, 745 nt
Organism: Amphimedon queenslandica
Lineage: Eukaryota; Metazoa; Porifera; Demospongiae; Haplosclerida; Niphatidae
Exons: 3
Source: RefSeq, a predicted model, not a curated record
UCCUCUCUCACUCUCUCUUUCUCUUGUUUUAGCUCCAAUGAAACACUUUGAGCUACCCUUUAAGAUGUUUGAUCUCAAUGGUGAUGGAGAAGUUGAGUUUGAUAAGUUUUAAGCGGUUCAGUUAGUUCUCCUCGGCUCCACAGCAAUGGGAGUGAGACACAGAGACCACGUCAUCAAUGGUAAUGUGGUUUCGUCUGUGGGUGGAGCAUUAGCAGUGCAUUUCUUGGUAAGAAACUCGACCAGAAACUGACGAUAGAAAAGUUUCAAGAAUUCCAUACUCUUCUCAACACUGAGAUACUCCUGAUGGAAAUCUAUUACCAAGAAUGGGCUUCAUUUGUGCUUCAGUUUAGAAGAUACACUUCUACUUGCACAGCCAUCAUUUCCACUUUUUAGCCAUGAAGCAACUUUGAUUUUUGUGCAAAUCAUUCAUAGGGGUGCUGGGCUUUUGCCAAAGGGUCUGGUGCUGUACUUACCUUUCCUUAAUACAUUGUGAAUCUCCUCAGUUGCUGGGUCUUAUUUUAUUCAGGUAAAUUUCCCCUCAAAGUUACUAUGUUUUUUAGAAAAUGCCUAAUUAUCAGCUACACGUGGUUCAAAUUUUGAAUGAUUUUAAUUAUAUUCAUAAGUCACUGACAAUGAAUAUUGUUUUAUCAGUGACGUAUCAGGAAGUGAAGCCAUAAAGAAUCCGUUCACAAUUGUGCAGUGUAGCGCCUUCUUGUAGGCUGUUAGCAAUUAUCUAUAUUAUGAU